ACACAUGCAAGUCGAACGUGAUUUUGUGGAAAUCUUUCGGGAAUGGAAAUGAAAUGAAAGUGGCGAACGGGUGAGUAACACGUGAGCAACCUACCUUACACAGGGGGAUAGCCGUUGGAAACGACGAUUAAUACCGCAUGAGACCACAGAAUCGCAUGAUAUAGGGGUCAAAGAUUUAUCGGUGUAAGAAGGGCUCGCGUCUGAUUAGCUAGUUGGAAGGGUAAAGGCCUACCAAGGCGACGAUCAGUAGCCGGUCUGAGAGGAUGAACGGCCACAUUGGAACUGAGACACGGUCCAAACUCCUACGGGAGGCAGCAGUGGGGAAUAUUGCACAAUGGGGGGAACCCUGAUGCAGCGACGCCGCGUGAGCGAAGAAGGUUUUCGAAUCGUAAAGCUCUGUCCUAUGAGAAGAUAAUGACGGUAUCAUAGGAGGAAGCCCCGGCUAAAUACGUGCCAGCAGCCGCGGUAAUACGUAUGGGGCGAGCGUUGUCCGGAAUUAUUGGGCGUAAAGGGUACGUAGGCGGUUUUUUAAGUCAGGUGUGAAAGCGUGAGGCUUAACCUCAUUAAGCACUUGAAACUGGAAGACUUGAGUGAAGGAGAGGAAAGUGGAAUUCCUAGUGUAGCGGUGAAAUGCGUAGAUAUUAGGAGGAAUACCGGUGGCGAAGGCGACUUUCUGGACUUUUACUGACG
RNAcentral lists this ribosomal RNA (690 nucleotides) under uncultured Clostridium sp. RNAcentral describes it as "bacterial SSU rRNA". It matches the Rfam family "Bacterial small subunit ribosomal RNA", at positions 51 to 745 of the family's 1533-position model. The record is from RNAcentral. Lineage: Bacteria; Bacillati; Bacillota; Clostridia; Eubacteriales; Clostridiaceae.